Long non-coding RNA from Dreissena polymorpha, 598 nucleotides. RefSeq lists it as uncharacterized. The record is from RefSeq and is a predicted model, not a curated record. NCBI's taxonomy places the organism in Eukaryota, Metazoa, Mollusca, Bivalvia, Myida, Dreissenidae. The transcript is spliced from 5 exons.
CUAAUUGACAAUAUUCUAUAUGACGGGAAUAUGUAUACACUACAAUGGGCCGUGAACAAAUAAGAUCCUGCUUGAAAACUCCACAAAACAUGUCGGAUCACGAGUUCAAAUAAGGAAGAAACUCUUCAAUUAUCACGUGCCUCAGUCCUCUUAUUGACAAAAUACGAAUUCCGCAGUGAAAACUGUUAAAUAAUAUUGGAGGUCAAAAUGAGCGGAUCAAAGUUUUGAGUCUCAUUUUACAGCGAAUAAAAAAACGUGGCAUGCGAGAUUAAACAACCCAACUGUGGAUUCCGGCAAACGACACUCUGCGUUGUUAUGAGGGGGUAAUCGCGUGACAAACAAGAUGGCGACCUGUCGAGAAAGGCUAGGUGUGGAAAUUGGUGUUUAGGGUUUGUCAUUUCCUCAGCCGAUAUUAAUAUACCACUGCAAACGUCAGCGUUGCCCAAGGGUCAUGACAGCAUAGCAAUGCCAUAGUGUAUCGAAAGGCAUGGCUCUCUUGACGUAGCAAAAUUAAUAUUAGUGGCGUAAAUUCUUAAAAAAGCCGACGCACCUGUGGGGACGCUUUCAUACGGGCCGUUGACGUCACGAGGCUCGAGGC